Lethenteron reissneri (Far Eastern brook lamprey) is the source of this 3168-nucleotide long non-coding RNA. RefSeq lists it as uncharacterized. Lineage: Eukaryota; Metazoa; Chordata; Hyperoartia; Petromyzontiformes; Petromyzontidae. The record is from RefSeq and is a predicted model, not a curated record.
CCUUACCGGGGGGAACUUGCAGUUGACCCUGGAAGCCAGCAAGGCCGCGCUGCUGAGAUGGAGAGGAGGGAGCGCUCUGGGCACUAAGUAGAGUAGUAAUGUCUGGACGAACUCCUACAUCUUUGUACAGCCUACUACCACAACCACAAUUUAUUACAAAUCGAUUCCUCCCACCCGAACACAGAUUCAAUUUCACAGGUGGCAAACCCGAUCUGAAGAGCACAAAAUUAUCAAAUAAUUUAGCAGAUGAAAUAUCUCAAUUAUAUCGUAAUAAUUUAAUUGAGUGGUGAAGUAUGGCAAAACAACCUCCAUGACUCACACGUAACGGGGAGGCCAUCAUCCAGCAGUAAAUAAUAAAACACAAAGCGUGUUUGCACAGAUGUUAUAUUAAUAAUACAAUAUAACCGUAAUAGAGGUUUUUGGGUUAAAGCUGGGAAAGUGAGGUGAGAGGGGAGAGGUAGAGUGAACUGAAAGGAGGCAGUGAGAUGAUAAGGGAUAAGGGAGAGAGGUAGGAGAGUGCAGGAGAGUACAAUGAGAGGGGAGAGGUAGAGUGAGAUGACAGAGGUAGAGUGCGAUGAGAGGAGAGGUAGAGUGAUAUGAGAAUGAGAUGAGAGGGGAGCGGUAGAGUGAUAUGAGAGGUAGGAGAGUGAGAUGAGAGGGGAGAGUGAGAUGAGAGGGGAGAGUGAUAUGACAGGGGAGAGGUAGAGUGAGCUGAAAGUAGGCAGAGUGAGAUGAGAGGACUGUGCUGCUUCUGUAGAGUUAAACUUAUUAAAGUCCUCAACUCUCACCGUUUCGUCCCCGAGUGGCUGCGACUGCCGUCUCCUGCCUCAUCACCACCAGCUCUAUGCGUGGUGAAGUAUGGCCAAACAUCACCUGCGGCCCGCCCGCAGCAGCGUGGGGAGGCCCUCAUCCAGCAGUGGAUUGGCAAGUGCUGUACAUGUAGGCGAUGUCGUGUUCAUGAGCUCUGGGGAUUUAGUGCAAUGAGUGUGUCAACGUACGAUCAGUUGGACCAAUGGACGGGCCUCUGGAACAGAACCCGUUCGUAAGGCGGGGACUGGCUGACGGUGAGUUGCAAAUAAUGUAGCAUUAUGCAGCACAGGAUUAUUAAUUAUUGCACGGAUAAGGUGUCUAAUCUUUAUUUUAUUAUGAUAAAUUUGUAUCAUCACGUUUACAGGGCAUGGAAACGUGCCGUACUGCUCAGCAAGCAGCGACCCAGCCUGUGUGAUGAUGCUAAGUAUAAAAUUACGUAAAAAAAUUAUACUGGUAGGAACGAAGUGGACCAGCCUACAAUAGAUUAUAUCGUCCGUCCGUCCGUGUAGCAACAUCGCCCCCUACUGCAAACACUUGGCAUGACCCUACAAAAACCUUUAGACUCAGUGACGCUUUCCUGGCUAAACAAGUGUAACAUUCCCUUAUAAUUCCCUCAGAUAGCUUUUAAUUAAAACAUUUAAAUUAAUGAGGCUUUCCUGGCUAAACAAGUGUAACAUUCCCUUAUAAUUCCCUGAGAUAGCUUUUAAUUAAAACUUUUAAAUGAAAAUUUAACUCACAGCGCCCUAAAGCCUACAGCUAGGCCUAAAGCCUAGACCUAGGCCUCAAACUCUUCCUUCGUAUCGUACCCCCGCGUGUGUGAAAGGGAGUUAAUGUUUAACAAUGUUACAUUCCCUGAUGUUUUUAAAUAGAAACAUUUUCAUUUAAAGCUUUUACAUAAAUAAUUAAAACAUUUAAAUUAAAAAUAAACUCACAGCGGCCUAACGCCUACAGCUAGGCCUAAAGCCUAGAACUAGGCCUCACACUGUCCCUUCGUAUCGUCUGAUUCGGUGUAGCAACAUCGCCCCCUACUGCAAACACUUGGCAGGACCCUACAAAAACCUUUAGACUCAAUGGGGCUUUCCUGGCUAAACAAGUGUAAUAAUACAUUAUGUUUAUAUUCUUUGGUUAUUCGGUCCUACCAGCCCACCCCGCAGGGUCCUGUUGUUAACGAGUCCCAUCGAACACGCCGAUUGGUUGCAGUGCGUGAUGUCACAGCGACCAAGCAACCAAUCAGAGGGAAUUCUAUAAAAUUGGUCGUGAAAGACAAGUAAAAAUAAUAACAAACCUUAUUCACUUUUUAUUAUCCACUUAAUUUACUAUAAACGGUGGACUUGCAAAUCCACCGCUUAGAUUUACUGAAUCCAUCUACUAUUAACACAAGCCUCUACUUUCUGGAUGUUGUGGUGUAUCACGUCUUUUUUCAAAACAGUCCUCAAAUGGUCAUAUACAUACUGUUGGUCACUGUUUGAGUGUUGCAAUGAAUAAUAAUUCAGUACAUUUUGUAUUGGUGCUUUCAUAGCACAAGGCAAGCAACACAAAGUUAGGUGCUGCUGUUUUCCACACAGUCUCCAGUAGUUUCACAGUAGGGGGCAAUGUUGCUUUGUGUUCGAGGUAAGUUUACUAAAAUGGUAAAUUUUCACUAUGAUGCUGGCACUCAUUGGCCUACUAAUUUCAAAUGAUGUCAGUUGAAUCUGAAACCUCCACUGUAAAGCAAACGGCGCGUAGCAGUUCGGGAUUAUAAUGCCUGCAGCGUUAAACAGGGUGGCCUGCCAGAUUUGAACCAUUAAAUAUUUUUCAACAAGUGACUGACAUGCUUCUGCCUGACCGUUUUGCCACCACCCGAUUUAACAAGUGAAAUUCCUCGUGUCUCUCCCAUCUGCCCCUCCUUCCCUCCAGUUAGCCAUGUUUAACUUCUCGGUGCUGCUGACGAUGCUGCUGCUAGUGUGCACAUGCGCGUACGUGCAGGCGCUCUUCCCCUCCAUGCUCGACCACAACAAGACCGGGUGAGCGGAAGAGCGCUUAUGUGGGAGUGGCAUGCAUUGCCAUGGCAUUCAGCAUCCUCUUCCUCCAGUAGCACAGUGCGAAGGGCCAGUCACUACGGCUGGAGGUACAUGCCGUGGCACGCUGGUCAUUGAUGCAGUUUUGGAAGACGGGAAAGCGUAUACGUUGGGAGCAUAUUACAGCACAGCAAUGCAGGUUAUUGUGCUGCCUCCUGCUGGUGUCCAUAGUGCCGCAUCGUCAUCACUUCACACAUUUUUUCAACAUCCCUGCCACAUAAUUCUAUCGUCAUCACUUCACAAUCACAUCAUCAAUCGCGAUGAUGAUGUCAUCAUAAUAUAAAGAACAUUGCAAACAUCA